Molecule: unclassified non-coding RNA, 262 nt
Filed under: Hevea brasiliensis (rubber tree)
Lineage: Eukaryota; Viridiplantae; Streptophyta; Magnoliopsida; Malpighiales; Euphorbiaceae
Source: RNAcentral
GUUCAAUCUUGUUUUUCUCAUAUCCCUGAGCUCUACCUCCCAAAGCACCUUUAUAGAGCAUAUUACCAGUAGUGGGAAUUUGGUUCUGGUUAAAAUGGGUCUUAUUGAUGUUGUUAAAGGUUUGGGAGUUUGUAGCAAGAGGGAGGAAGUUGGUAAAGUCUGGUGGAUCUGGCGGUCUGUUUGCCGUCGAAGCAGAGCGAUUAAAGUUGAAGUUCAUCCCUGAGCUCCGUCGAAGUUAUCCGUUAUUGACCGUUGGAGAGAG